UACGGGGGGGGCAAGCGUUGUUCGGAAUUACUGGGCGUAAAGGGUGCGUAGGUGGCGUCGUAAGUCGGGUGUGAAAUUUCGGAGCUCAACUCCGAAACUGCAUUCGAUACUGCGGUGCUUGAGGACUGGAGAGGAGACUGGAAUUUACGGUGUAGCAGUGAAAUGCGUAGAGAUCGUAAGGAAGACCAGUGGCGAAGGCGGGUCUCUGGACAGUUCCUGACACUGAGGCACGAAGGCCAGGAGAGCAAACGGG
RNAcentral lists this ribosomal RNA (253 nucleotides) under uncultured bacterium. Its description in RNAcentral is "partial 16S ribosomal RNA". It matches the Rfam family "Bacterial small subunit ribosomal RNA", at positions 524 to 776 of the family's 1533-position model. The record is from RNAcentral.